AUUAAUCAACUCAAGCAAAAUGGCGAAAACUCACUGAAUGCGAAGGAAACUCUCUCGAUCUCCAAAUGGGAGUUAGAGUCCUUCUAAUCCAACAUAAACAAAGGUUCUAAGCCCAUCAAUUGAGAUCAAAAAGCCUCAAAUCAAAAAUCCCCAUUACUAACCCUAAUAUGCUCAAUCUAGGGUUUCAACGCAAGAAAUCCUC
RNAcentral lists this long non-coding RNA (202 nucleotides) under Ananas comosus (pineapple). Its description in RNAcentral is "long non-coding RNA (ACOM_LNC044032)". The record is from RNAcentral. Lineage: Eukaryota; Viridiplantae; Streptophyta; Magnoliopsida; Poales; Bromeliaceae.